AGCGAACGCUGGCGGCAGGCCUAACACAUGCAAGUCGAACGAACUCUUCGGAGUUAGUGGCGGACGGGUGAGUAACACGUGGGAACGUGCCUUUUGGUGCGGAAUAACUCAGGGAAACUUGUGCUAAUACCGAAUGUGCCCUUGGGGGGAAAGAUUUAUCGCAAUUAGAGCGGCCCGCGUCGGUUUAGCUAGUUGGGGAGGUAACGGCCCACCAAGGCGACGAUCAGUAGCUGGUCUGAGAGGAUGACCAGCCACACUGGGACUGAGACACGGCCCAGACUCCUACGGGAGGCAGCAGUGGGGAAUCUUGCGCAAUGGGCGAAAGCCUGACGCAGCCAUGCCGCGUGAAUGAUGAAGGUCUUAGGAUUGUAAAAUUCUUUCACCGGGGACGAUAAUGACGGUACCCGGAGAAGAAGCCCCGGCUAACUUCGUG
RNAcentral lists this ribosomal RNA (433 nucleotides) under uncultured bacterium. RNAcentral's name for it is "partial 16S ribosomal RNA". It matches the Rfam family "Bacterial small subunit ribosomal RNA", at positions 29 to 507 of the family's 1533-position model. The record is from RNAcentral.